This 85-nucleotide transfer RNA is filed under the name Nocardioides immobilis. RNAcentral describes it as "tRNA-Ala". Lineage: Bacteria; Bacillati; Actinomycetota; Actinomycetes; Propionibacteriales; Nocardioidaceae. The record is from RNAcentral.
GCGGCUUGGGUCACGCGGGGGGACGCUUCUAUCACCCCGCUUUGCAAGCAGGGGGUUAGGGGUUCGAGUCCCCUAGGCUCCACCA